UGAAUACGAGAUGCUACGGCGUCGAAGCAGUGUAUGUCAGACUUCCAAGAAAAGCUCGCAAUGUCAUAAAUAAAGAAUGCCUGUACCAUAACCGACACAGGUGGGUAGGUAGAGUAUACUAAGGGGCGCGAGAUAACUCUCUCUAAGGAACUCGGCAAAAUAACUCCGUAACUUCGGGAGAAGGAGUGCCUUCUUGAAGAAGGUUGCAAUAACAAGAUCCAAGCAACUGUUUAUCAAAAACACAGGUCUCCGCUAAGUCGAAAGACGAUGUAUGGGGGCUGACGCCUGCCCAGUGCCAGAAGGUUAAAGAAGCUGGUUAGCAAUAGCGAAGCUGGUGACUGAAGCCCUGGUGAACGGCGGCCGUAACGAUAACGGUCCUAAGGUAGCGAAAUUCCUUGUCGGGUAAGUUCCGACCCGCACGAAAGGCGUAAUGAUUUGGAUACUGUCUCGGAGAGGGACUCGGUGAAAUAGACUUGUCUGUGAAGAUGCGGACUACCUGCACCAGGACAGAAAGACCCUAUGAAGCUUUACUGUAACUUGAAAUUGAAAUUGGACUUUAUUUGCGCAGUAUAGGUGGAAGGCGUUGAGAUUACUCUUGCGGGAUUAGUGGAGCCAUCAGUGAGAUACCACUCCUAUAAUGUUAGAUUUCUAACUUUGGAUCAUAAUCUGGUCAAAGAACAGUUUCAGGCGGGCAGUUUGACUGGGGCGGUCGCCUCCCAAAUGGUAACGGAGGCGUACAAAGGUUUCCUCUGAACGGGUAGAAAUCGUAUCUAGAGUGUAAAGGCAUAAGGAAGCUUGACUGUGAGACCUACAAGUCGAGCAGGGACGAAAGUCGGUCUUAGUGAUCUGACGGUGCUGAGUGGAAAGGCCGUCACUCAACGGAUAAAAGUUACUCUAGGGAUAACAGGCUGAUCUCCCCCAAGAGUUCACAUCGACGGGGAGGUUUGGCACCUCGAUGUCGGCUCAUCGCAUCCUGGGGCGGUAGUACGUCCCAAGGGUUGGGCUGUUCGCCCAUGAAAGCGGUACGCGAGCUGGGUUCAGAACGUCGUGAGACAGUUCGGUCCAUAUCCGGUGUAGGCGUUAGAAUAUUGAGAGGAGCCUUCUUUAGUACGAGAGGACCGAGAAGGACAUACCUCUGGUGUACCAGUUAUCGUGCCAACGGUAAACGCUGGGUAGCUAUGUAUGGAGAGGAUAACCGCUGAAAGCAUCUAAGUGGGAAGCCCACCUCAAGAUGAGUAUUCUCAC
RNAcentral lists this ribosomal RNA (1245 nucleotides) under metagenome. Its description in RNAcentral is "bacterial LSU rRNA". It matches the Rfam family "Bacterial large subunit ribosomal RNA", at positions 1564 to 2817 of the family's 2925-position model. The record is from RNAcentral.